RNAcentral lists this transfer RNA (61 nucleotides) under Thalassaphorura encarpata. RNAcentral's name for it is "tRNA-Gly". The record is from RNAcentral. Lineage: Eukaryota; Metazoa; Arthropoda; Collembola; Poduromorpha; Onychiuridae.
AUAUUUUUAGUAUAUAUUAGUACUUAAAGCUUCCAACUUUAAAGAUCUUUUGAAAAAUAUA